GACGAACGCUGGCGGCGUGCUUAACACAUGCAAGUCGAACGCUGAAGCUCAGCUUGCUGGGUGGAUGAGUGGCGAACGGGUGAGUAACACGUGAGUAACCUGCCCUCUUCUUUGGGAUAACGCCCGGAAACGGGUGCUAAUACUGGAUAUUCACUGAUUCUCGCAUGGGGGUUGGUGGAAAGGUUUUUUCUGGUGGGGGAUGGGCUCGCGGCCUAUCAGCUUGUUGGUGGGGUGAUGGCCUACCAAGGCUUUGACGGGUAGCCGGCCGGAGAGGGUGACCGGUCACAUUGGGACUGAGAUACGGCCCAGACUCCUACGGGAGGCAGCAGUGGGGAAUAGUGCACAAUGGGCGAAAGCCUGAUGCAGCGACGCCGCGUGAGGGAUGGAGGCCUUCGGGUUGUAAACCUCUUUCGCUCAUGGUCAAGCCGCAGCUUUGGGUUGUGGUGAGGGUAGUGGGUAAAGAAGCGCCGGCUAACUACGUG
RNAcentral lists this ribosomal RNA (482 nucleotides) under uncultured bacterium. RNAcentral describes it as "partial 16S ribosomal RNA". It matches the Rfam family "Bacterial small subunit ribosomal RNA", at positions 28 to 507 of the family's 1533-position model. The record is from RNAcentral.